GUGCAGCAGGCGCGAAAACUCCGCAAUGCGCGAAAGCGUGACGGGGUCACCCCGAGUGCCGUCCGCUGAGGAUGGCUUUUGCCUGGUCUAACCAGCCGGGUGAAUAAGGGGAGGGCAAGUCUGGUGUCAGCCGCCGCGGUAAUACCAGCUCCCCGAGUGGUUGGGACGAUUAUUGGGUCUGAAGCGUCCGUAGCCGGCCGGAAAAGUUCCCCGUUAAAUCUGGCGAUCCAAUCGUUGGGCUGCGGGGAAUACUCUUCGGCUUGGGGGCGAGGGAGGUCGGCGGUAGUCCCGGGGUAGGGGCGAAAUCCUAUAAUCCCGGGAGGACCACCAGUGGCGAAGGCGUCACGCUAGAACGGAUCCGACGGUCAGGGACGAAGCCCAGGGGCGCAAACGGGAUUAGAUACCCCGGUAGUCC
RNAcentral lists this ribosomal RNA (415 nucleotides) under uncultured archaeon. RNAcentral's name for it is "partial 16S ribosomal RNA". It matches the Rfam family "Archaeal small subunit ribosomal RNA", at positions 330 to 747 of the family's 1478-position model. The record is from RNAcentral.